CUAAGGAAGCUGAAGUGAUGGAGAGUAGAGAUACUAAGAGAAGUCACAAAAGCAAGCGGAAGCACACUGAGAAACUUUGUUUAGUUUUGAGGGUAGUACCUCAAAGAGCUAGUACAUUGAAAACUGAAUAUAAUCCAAGUAAAAAACCGAGAAAAUCAAAGAGAACAGAUUGUAAGGCGACCGAGAAGAGAAUUCUUGAGUAA
This 203-nucleotide unclassified non-coding RNA is filed under the name Lactobacillus helveticus. RNAcentral's name for it is "16S-23S ribosomal RNA intergenic spacer". Lineage: Bacteria; Bacillati; Bacillota; Bacilli; Lactobacillales; Lactobacillaceae. The record is from RNAcentral.